AGUGGCUUUGAAGGCAAAGGACAGGACUCAAAAGAUCCAAACGUGGGUUCGAAACCCG
Molecule: transfer RNA, 58 nt
Filed under: Chroomonas cf. mesostigmatica
Lineage: Eukaryota; Cryptophyceae; Pyrenomonadales; Chroomonadaceae
Source: RNAcentral